This 468-nucleotide ribosomal RNA is filed under the name uncultured bacterium. RNAcentral's name for it is "partial 16S ribosomal RNA". It matches the Rfam family "Bacterial small subunit ribosomal RNA", at positions 28 to 507 of the family's 1533-position model. The record is from RNAcentral.
GACGAACGCUGGCGGCGUGCUUAACACAUGCAAGUCGAACGGAAAGGCCCUGCUUUUGUGGGGUGCUCGAGUGGCGAACGGGUGAGUAACACGUGAGUAACCUGCCCUUGACUUUGGGAUAACUUCAGGAAACUGGGGCUAAUACCGGAUAGGAGCUCCUGCUGCAUGGUCGGGGUUGGAAAGUUUCGGCGGUUGGGGAUGGACUCGCGGCUUAUCAGCUUGUUGGUGGGGUAGUGGCUUACCAAGGCUUUGACGGGUAGCCGGCCUGAGAGGGUGACCGGCCACAUUGGGACUGCGAUACGGCCCAGACUCCUACGGGAGGCAGCAGUGGGGAAUAUUGCACAAUGGGCGGAAGCCUGAUGCAGCAACGCCGCGUGCGGGAUGACGGCCUUCGGGUUGUAAACCGCCUUCGCCUGUGACGAAGCGUGAGUGACGGUAAUGGGUAAAGAAGCACCGGCUAACUACGUG